UUGUGAUUGCUAUGUAGCUAGGGUUUUAUAGACAGACACAAUUGACCGAAGAUUGUUAACAAGUAUGUAUCUAAUGUUCAUUGUUUGCAUUUUUUAUUUUGUUAAUCUUUUGUAUUGAGUUGCGGUUCUAACAAUGCAAUAUGUACGAAAAGAAGUAUAUAUCCAAAAGAUGUAUAUAUAAAGCGAUCGUAUAACCCAAAUUAAAAAGGUCUAAUUUCAAAUUAUGAAAAAACAAAUCUAAUUUUAAAUUUCUCUCUAGGGCUACACAUAUGUUAGUUGACCCUGGUUCAAAGAUCUCAAGCAAUCCAGGCAGUGGAAAAAUAUUUAAGAGCAGGACAUAGAUUUUCAUGGCAUGAAGGAAGCAUGGAAUCCGUGGAGAUAAUGAAGGACAAAGAAAUGAACUUCACUCUUAAGUUUGUCAAUUUCACUACCAUUUUUCUUCAAUUAAAAAUGUUUCCC
RNAcentral lists this long non-coding RNA (459 nucleotides) under Medicago truncatula (barrel medic). Its description in RNAcentral is "long non-coding RNA (MTRU_LNC007727)". The record is from RNAcentral. Lineage: Eukaryota; Viridiplantae; Streptophyta; Magnoliopsida; Fabales; Fabaceae.